CGGAUCUCUUGGCUCUCGCAUCGAUGAAGAACGCAGCGAAAUGCGAUAAGUAAUGUGAAUUGCAGAAUUCAGUGAAUCAUCGAAUCUUUGAACGCACCUUGCGCUCCUUGGUAUUCCGAGGAGCAUGCCUGUUUGAGUGUCAUUAAAUUCUCAACCUAA
Molecule: ribosomal RNA, 159 nt
Filed under: Termitomyces sp. MiS1
Lineage: Eukaryota; Fungi; Basidiomycota; Agaricomycetes; Agaricales; Lyophyllaceae
Also listed under: 1 other name
Description: 5.8S ribosomal RNA
Rfam family: 5.8S ribosomal RNA (bases 2-142)
About the family: 5.8S ribosomal RNA (5.8S rRNA) is a component of the large subunit of the eukaryotic ribosome. It is transcribed by RNA polymerase I as part of the 45S precursor that also contains 18S and 28S rRNA.
Source: RNAcentral